CUAUACAUGACUCUGCGCAUAUCAAUAAGCGGAGGAAAAGAAACUAACAAGGAUUCCCCUAGUAACGGCGAGUGAAGCGGGAAGAGCUCAAAUUUGAAAUCUUAAAGGGUUUCCCUUUACGAAUUGUAGUUUAAAGAAGUGUUUUUCUGUUGAGGUUUUGGUAAAAGUUCUUUGGAAUAGGACAUCAUAGAGGGUGAGAAUCCCGUAUUUGACCAUUUACUUUUCAGCUUUGUGAUACACUUUACAAAGAGUCGGAUUGUUUGGGAAUGCAGUCCAAAAUGGGUGGUAAAUUUCAUCUAAAGCUAAAUAUUGGCGAGAGACCGAUAGCGAACAAGUACCGUGAGGGAAAGAUGAAAAGAACUUUGAAAAGAGAGUUAAACAGUACGUGAAAUUGUCAAAAGGGAAGCGUUUGACACCAGUGUUGUUUUUCUGAAAAUCAAUUAAAGAACUGUUUAUGCUAAGUUGUUUAGACUUUAUCAGCUAACUGUUUAGUUUUGAGCUUUUCUUUAAUGCACUUUUCAGUUAACAAGUCAACAUCAAUUUCUUUUGCUGUAAAAAAAGCUUGAGGAAGGUGGCUUGAGAUUCGUCUUAAGUGUUUACUAGCCUCUUGCCUAUGCAGUCGGAGAGAUUGAGGUCUGCAGCGUAGAUCCUUCGGGGCUAAAUGCAUUUGUGCUAAGUUAUAGCAUUUUAUAGACAACUUGUUGACUAUGAUUUGUCUUGUAGCUUACUCGCUUAUGUUAUUUUACCUACGCUUAGGAUGUUGACAGCAGUAUAGACUGU
RNAcentral lists this ribosomal RNA (780 nucleotides) under uncultured Neocallimastigales. RNAcentral's name for it is "partial large subunit ribosomal RNA". It matches the Rfam family "Eukaryotic large subunit ribosomal RNA", at positions 22 to 637 of the family's 3401-position model. The record is from RNAcentral. Lineage: Eukaryota; Fungi; Neocallimastigomycota; Neocallimastigomycetes; Neocallimastigales.